CCCCUAGAUGUUCUGGGCCGCACGCGCGCUACACUGAACAGUUCAACAAGUCUUAACCUUGACCGAUAGGUCUGGGUAAUCUUUGAACGCUGUUCGUGAUUGGGAUAGACCUUUGCAAUUAUGGGUCUUCAACGAGGAAUUCCUAGUAAACGCAAGUCAUCAGCUUGCAUUGAUUACGUCCCUGCCCUUUGUACACACCGCCCGUCGCACCUACCGAUUGAAUGGUCCGGUGAAAUCUCGGGACGGCGGCUUGGUCGCUUGCGUCCGACUGCUGAAACUUGAUUAAACCAUAUCAUUUAGAGGAAGGUGAAGUCGUAACA
RNAcentral lists this ribosomal RNA (320 nucleotides) under uncultured eukaryote. Its description in RNAcentral is "partial 18S ribosomal RNA". It matches the Rfam family "Eukaryotic small subunit ribosomal RNA", at positions 1470 to 1796 of the family's 1831-position model. The record is from RNAcentral.